CAGUCGUACCGGCGGAUAAUCAGCCUUUCGGGUGCGAUUCUGUGGGGCGUGAGGAGCUUAACCGCCUUCGUGUUUUGCAUAUUCGUGCACAUUUGGUGUACUUGUCCGUGUGGUGGGUUAACAUCAAUUUUGGUCGUCAUAAAAUGACUGGAGGAAUGUAGCUUUGGGUCUCGUAUCGAAGUGUUAUAGCCUUGGAGAUGUGAUGAUCGGGAUU
This 214-nucleotide ribosomal RNA is filed under the name Rhizophagus intraradices. Lineage: Eukaryota; Fungi; Glomeromycota; Glomeromycetes; Glomerales; Glomeraceae. The record is from RNAcentral.